RNAcentral lists this ribosomal RNA (253 nucleotides) under uncultured bacterium. RNAcentral describes it as "partial 16S ribosomal RNA". It matches the Rfam family "Bacterial small subunit ribosomal RNA", at positions 524 to 776 of the family's 1533-position model. The record is from RNAcentral.
UACAGAGGUCUCAAGCGUUGUUCGGAUUCAUUGGGCGUAAAGGGUGCGUAGGUGGCUCUGUAAGUCGGGUGUGAAAUUUCGGAGCUUAACUCCGAAACUGCAUUCGAUACUGCGGUGCUUGAGGACUGGAGAGGAGACUGGAAUUCAUGGUGUAGCAGUGAAAUGCGUAGAGAUCAUGAGGAAGACCAGUGGCGAAGGCGGGUCUCUGGACAGUUCCUGACACUGAGGCACGAAGGCCAGGGGAGCAAACGGG